This 452-nucleotide ribosomal RNA is filed under the name uncultured Verrucomicrobiota bacterium. RNAcentral's name for it is "bacterial SSU rRNA". It matches the Rfam family "Bacterial small subunit ribosomal RNA", at positions 438 to 896 of the family's 1533-position model. The record is from RNAcentral. Lineage: Bacteria; Pseudomonadati; Verrucomicrobiota.
UUCAGGGAGUAACUGCCCGUGAAAUUGAGAGUAUCACAAGAGGAAGAGGCGGCUAACUCUGUGCCAGCAGCCGCGGUAAUACAGAGGCCUCAAGCGUUGUUCGGAAUCACUGGGCGUAAAGGGUGCGUAGGCGGCGCGGAAAGUCAGGGGUGAAAUCCCGGAGCUCAACUCCGGAACUGCCUUUGAUACUCCGCGCUUGAGAACUGGAGGGGAGAUCGGAAUUCACGGUGGAGCAGUGAAAUGCGUGGAUAUCGUGAGGAACACUAGUGGCGAAGGCGGAUCUCUGGACAGUAUCUGACGCUGAGGCACGAAGGCCAGGGGAGCGAACGGGAUUAGAUACCCCGGUAGUCCUGGCAGUAAACGGUGCACGCUUGGUAUGGGGGGAAUCGACCCCUCCCGUGCCGGAGCUAACGCGUUAAGCGUGCCGCCUGGGAAGUACGGUCGCAAGAUUA